Molecule: ribosomal RNA, 433 nt
Filed under: uncultured bacterium
Lineage: Bacteria
Description: partial 16S ribosomal RNA
Rfam family: Bacterial small subunit ribosomal RNA
Source: RNAcentral
AACGAACGCUGGCGGCAUGCCUAACACAUGCAAGUCGAACGAGACCUUCGGGUCUAGUGGCGCACGGGUGCGUAACGCGUGGGAACCUGCCCUUAGGUUCGGAAUAACUCCCCGAAAGGGGUGCUAAUACCGGAUAAUGUCUUCGGACCAAAGAUUUAUCGCCUUUGGAUGGGCCCGCGUUGGAUUAGCUUGUUGGUAGGGUAAAAGCCUACCAAGGCGACGAUCCAUAGCUGGUCUGAGAGGAUGAUCAGCCACACUGGGAGUGAGACACGGCCCAGACUCCUACGGAAGGCAGGAAUGGGGAAUAUUGGACAAUGGGCGAAAGACUGAGCCAGCAAUGCCGCGUGAGUGAUGAAGGCCUUAGGGUUGUAAAGCUCUUUUAACCGGGAUGAUAAUGACAGUACCGGAAGAAUAAGCGCCGGCUAACUCCGUG